GACAGUCAGUAGUUGGUCUGGGGUAAGCAGGAAAUCUCAGAUCAUCUCUUGACUGUGGA
This 59-nucleotide microRNA precursor is filed under the name Python bivittatus (Burmese python). RNAcentral describes it as "Pbv-Mir-2970_pre stem-loop". Lineage: Eukaryota; Metazoa; Chordata; Lepidosauria; Squamata; Pythonidae. The record is from RNAcentral.